This 460-nucleotide ribosomal RNA is filed under the name uncultured bacterium. RNAcentral describes it as "partial 16S ribosomal RNA". It matches the Rfam family "Bacterial small subunit ribosomal RNA", at positions 338 to 795 of the family's 1533-position model. The record is from RNAcentral.
CCUACGGGAGGCAGCAGUGAGGAAUAUUGGUCAAUGGACGAGAGUCUGAACCAGCCAAGUAGCGUGAAGGAUGACUGCCCUAUGGGUUGUAAACUUCUUUUAUAUGGGAAUAAAAUGUUCCACGUGUGGGAUUUUGUAUGUACCAUAUGAAUAAGGAUCGGCUAACUCCGUGCCAGCAGCCGCGGUAAUACGGAGGAGCCGAGCGUUAUCCGGAUUUAUUGGGUUUAAAGGGAGCGUAGGUGGAUUGUUAAGUCAGUUGUGAAAGUUUGCGGUUCAACCGUAAAAUUGCAGUUGAAACUGGCAGUCUUGAGUACAGUAGAGGUGGGCGGAAUUCGUGGUGUAGCGGUGAAAUGCUUAGAUAUCACGAAGAACUCCGAUUGCGAAGGCAGUUCACUGGACUGCAACUGACACUGAGGCUCGAAAGUGUGGGUAUCAAACAGGAUUAGAUACCCGGGUAGUC